RNAcentral lists this ribosomal RNA (773 nucleotides) under uncultured Neocallimastigales. RNAcentral describes it as "partial large subunit ribosomal RNA". It matches the Rfam family "Eukaryotic large subunit ribosomal RNA", at positions 24 to 628 of the family's 3401-position model. Lineage: Eukaryota; Fungi; Neocallimastigomycota; Neocallimastigomycetes; Neocallimastigales. The record is from RNAcentral.
GUAGUCUCGCACAGAUGCAUAUCAAUAAGCGGAGGAAAAGAAACUAACAAGGAUUCCCUUAGUAACGGCGAGUGAAGCGGGAAGAGCUCAAAUUUGAAAUCUUGAAAGGUCACCUUUCACGAAUUGUAGUUUAAAGAAGUGUUUUCUGUUACGAUCGUAAUAUAAGUUCUUUGGAAUAGGACAUCACAGAGGGUGAGAAUCCCGUCUAUGAUUGCGAUUUGUAGCUUUGUGUAUACACUUUCAAAGAGUCGGGUUGUUUGGGAAUGCAGCCCAAAACGGGAGGUAAAUUUCUUCUAAGGCUAAAUAUUGGCGAGAGACCGAUAGCGAACAAGUACCGUGAGGGAAAGAUGAAAAGAACUUUGAAAAGAGAGUUAAAUAGUACGUGAAAUUGUCAAAAGGGAAGCGUUUAACACCAGUGUUGUUUUCUGAAAAUCAACCUCUGUUAGCUUUAUGCAUGUUUGUUUAGACCUAAUCAGCUAUCUUGCAUGUUCUAUUGUUUGCAGUGGUGCACUUUUCAGUUUACAGGUCAACAUCAGUUUUUUUUUACCGUAAAAAAGUUAAAGAAAGGUAGCUCAUGGCUCCGGUCGUGAGUGUUAUAGUCUUUUUCCUAUGCGGUAGGAGAGACUGAGGUCUGCAGUGUAGGCUAUUUGGCUAGAUACUCAGGUGCUAUGUGAUACCAUUUCAUAAACAACUUGUUGAUUAUGUUUUGUCUAUUGCAUACUCGCUUGUACUAUCAUACCUACGCUUAGGAUGUUGAGUCGUAGAGCACGCAG